Molecule: ribosomal RNA, 460 nt
Filed under: uncultured bacterium
Lineage: Bacteria
Description: partial 16S ribosomal RNA
Rfam family: Bacterial small subunit ribosomal RNA
Source: RNAcentral
CCUACGGGUGGCAGCAGUGAGGAAUAUUGGUCAAUGGACGGAAGUCUGAACCAGCCAUGCCGCGUGCAGGAAGACGGCUCUAUGAGUUGUAAACUGCUUUUGUAUAAGGGUAAACCUGAAUACGUGUAUGCAGUUGUAAGUACUGUAUGAAUAAGGAUCGGCUAACUCCGUGUCAGCAGCCGCGGUAAUACGGAGGAUCCAAGCGUUAUCCGGAUUUAUUGGGUUUAAAGGGUGCGUAGGCGGAUUGAUAAGUUAGAGGUGAAAUGUUCGGGCUUAACCCGGAAACUGCAUCUAAUACUGGUGAUCUAGAGAAUAGAUGCGGUAGGCGGAAUGUGUGGUGUAGCGGUGAAAUGCUUAGAGAUCAUACAGAACACCGAUUGCGAAGGCAGCUUACCAAUCUAUAUCUGACAUUGAGGCACGAAAGCGUGGGGAGCAAACAGGAUUAGAUACCCGGGUAGUC